UGGGGAAUUUUGGACAAUGGGCGAAAGCCUGAUCCAGCAAUGCCGCGUGUGUGAAGAAGGCCUUCGGGUUGUAAAGCACUUUUGUCCGGAAAGAAAUCCUUGGCUCUAAUACAGUCGGGGGAUGACGGUACCGGAAGAAUAAGCACCGGCUAACUACGUGCCAGCAGCCGCGGUAAUACGUAGGGUGCAAGCGUUAAUCGGAAUUACUGGGCGUAAAGCGUGCGCAGGCGGUUUGCUAAGACCGAUGUGAAAUCCCCGGGCUCAACCUGGGAACUGCAUUGGUGACUGGCAGGCUAGAGUAUGGCAGAGGGGGGUAGGAUUCCACGUGUAGCAGUGAAAUGCGUAGAGAUGUGGAGGAAUACCGAUGGCGAAGGCAGCCCCCUGGGCCAAUACUGACGCUCAUGCACGAAAGCGUGGGGAGCAAAACAGGAUUAGAUACCCUGGUAGUCCACGCCCUAAACGAUGUCAACUAGUUGUUGGGGAUUCAUUUCCUUAGUAACGUAGCUAACGCGUGAAGUUGACCGCCUGGGGAGUACGGUCGCAAGAUUAAAACUCAAAUGAAUUGACGGGGUCAUAGCUA
RNAcentral lists this ribosomal RNA (580 nucleotides) under uncultured bacterium. RNAcentral's name for it is "partial 16S ribosomal RNA". It matches the Rfam family "Bacterial small subunit ribosomal RNA", at positions 355 to 927 of the family's 1533-position model. The record is from RNAcentral.